GGGGUACUGGUACAGAGUCAAUGUGGAGGCUAUAUACAGGGGGUGCCAGUACAGAGUCAAUGUGGAGGCUAUAUACAGGGGGUACAGAGUCAAUGUGGAGGCUAUAUACAGGGGGCACCGGUACAGAGUCAAUGUGGAGGCUAUAUACAGGGGGUACCGGUACAGAGUUACGGGGCACCAGUUAAUCAAGGUAAUAUAUACAUGGAGGUAGAAUUAUUAAAGUGACUAUGCAUGGAGGGGGGGCAAUGCAAAUAGUCUGGGUAGCCAUUUGAUUAGAUGUUCAGCAGUCUAAUGGCUUGGGGGUAGAAGCUGUUGAGAAGCCUCUUGGCCCUAGACUUGGCGCUCCGGUACUGCUUGCUGUGCGGUAGCAGAGAGGACAGUUUAUGACUGGGGUGGUUGGAGUCUUUGGACAUAUUUAGGGCCUCCCUCUGACACCGCCUAGUAUAGAGGUCCUGGAUGGCAAGAAGCUUGACCCCAGUUAUGUACUGGGCCAUACGCACAACACUCUGAAGUGCCUUGUGGCCGAGUAGUUUCCAUACCAGGCAGUGAUGCAACCAGUGCUCCGGAUGGGGCAGCUGUUGAACCUUUUGAGGAUCUGAGGAUCCAUGCCAGAUCUUUUCAGUCUCCUGAGGGGGAAUAGGUUUUGUCGUUCUCUCUUCACGACUGGAUUGGUAUGUUUGGACCAGGAUAGUUUGUUGGUGAUGUGGACACCAAGGAACCUGAAGCUCUCAACCUGCUCCACUACAGAAGCAGACCCUAGUUCCUACUCCUUAGCUUAGGUAGUCAGUCCUUGGUUUGCAUCCCAUUACCCAUAAGGCUCUGGUCAAAACUAGUGCACUGUAUAGGGAAUAGGGUGCCAUUUGGGAUGCAGACUUGGGGAGGGGCUAAGGGCCUUGUCUGGACCGGGCCAAAGCUGUUAUCAAGGUAGGCUGUCUGUGCUCUCUAGUGCUGUCUGUCUCAAGCAGUUCAGAUUGCUGAUCUAGGAUCAGGCUCCUGUGCAUGUAAUGUGUUCUGGAAGGCAGAACUAACUGAUCUAGGAUCAGGCUCCUAUGCAUGUAAUGUAUUGUGGAAGGCAGAACUGACCCUAGGUCAGCACUCCUACUCAGAUGCUUGAUACAUAUGCCCCUUUGUGUGCAUUGGCCACCUCACAUAGCCUGGUUCCUCUCUAGGUUUUGGCCUUUCUAGGGAGUUUUUCCUAGCCACCGUGCUUCUACACCUGCAUUGCUUGCUGUUUGGGGUUUUAGGCUGGGUUUCUGUACAGCACUUUGAGAUAUCAGCUGAUGUACGAAGG
This is a long non-coding RNA of Oncorhynchus tshawytscha (Chinook salmon), 1291 nucleotides long. Lineage: Eukaryota; Metazoa; Chordata; Actinopteri; Salmoniformes; Salmonidae. The record is from Ensembl.